CUUAUCGAGAGCGGCUGAGGGAAUAGGCCCGUUGAUGCCCGACAACCUGUAUCCACCGGAAGGUGGGUGCAAGGUGCCAAAUCCUACAGGACAUGACAGAGAGCCAUGUGCCUGAAAGAUAAGG
Molecule: non-coding RNA, 124 nt
Filed under: Eubacterium pyruvativorans
Lineage: Bacteria; Bacillati; Bacillota; Clostridia; Eubacteriales; Eubacteriaceae
Description: SAM riboswitch (S box leader)
Rfam family: SAM riboswitch aptamer (S box leader)
About the family: The SAM riboswitch is found upstream of a number of genes which code for proteins involved in methionine or cysteine biosynthesis in Gram-positive bacteria. The SAM riboswitch acts at the level of transcription termination control.
Source: RNAcentral